UAUAAUUACAACUAUCAGAUUCCGCGUCUAACUUUAAUCGUCCGUCAUAUUUAAAUCUUUUUUAUAAUUAUUAUUUUUGUUGUUACAAGAUGAUAAGAUAUGAAUAAACUUAUGUUUUUAAAAUUUUUUUAAAAAAAUUUAAAAUAAGACGAACGAAAAGUUAAACGUGGAAAACUAUGGCUGCACUUAAA
This is a non-coding RNA of Oryza barthii, 191 nucleotides long. Lineage: Eukaryota; Viridiplantae; Streptophyta; Magnoliopsida; Poales; Poaceae. The record is from Rfam.